Molecule: transfer RNA, 84 nt
Filed under: Vallitaleaceae bacterium
Lineage: Bacteria; Bacillati; Bacillota; Clostridia; Lachnospirales; Vallitaleaceae
Rfam family: tRNA
About the family: Transfer RNA (tRNA) molecules are approximately 80 nucleotides in length. Their secondary structure includes four short double-helical elements and three loops (D, anti-codon, and T loops). Further hydrogen bonds mediate the characteristic L-shaped molecular structure. tRNAs have two regions of fundamental functional importance: the anti-codon, which is responsible for specific mRNA codon recognition, and the 3' end, to which the tRNAs corresponding amino acid is attached (by aminoacyl-tRNA synthetases). tRNAs cope with the degeneracy of the genetic code in two manners: having more than one tRNA (with a specific anti-codon) for a particular amino acid; and 'wobble' base-pairing, i.e. permitting non-standard base-pairing at the 3rd anti-codon position.
Source: Rfam by way of RNAcentral
GCGGAUAUGGCGGAAUAGGCAGACGCACCAGACUCAAAAUCUGGCGGUGGUGACAUCGUAUCGGUUCGACUCCGAUUAUCCGCA